Molecule: ribosomal RNA, 376 nt
Filed under: uncultured bacterium
Lineage: Bacteria
Description: bacterial SSU rRNA
Rfam family: Bacterial small subunit ribosomal RNA
Source: RNAcentral
UAAUACGAAGGGGGCUAGCGUUGUUCGGAAUUACUGGGCGUAAAGGGCGCGUAGGCGGUGUGUCAAGUCAGGCGUGAAAGCCCCGGGCUCAACCUGGGAACCGCGCUUGAGACUGGCACGCUCGAGUUCGGGAGAGGAUGGUGGAAUUCCCAGUGUAGAGGUGAAAUUCGUAGAUAUUGGGAAGAACACCGAUGGCGAAGGCAGCCAUCUGGACCGACACUGACGCUGAGGCGCGAAAGCGUGGGGAGCAAACAGGAUUAGAUACCCUGGUAGUCCACGCCGUAAACGAUGAGUGCUAGACGUCGGGGCCCUCAGGGCUUCGGUGUCGCAGCUAACGCGUUAAGCACUCCGCCUGGGGAGUACGGCCGCAAGGUUA